UCCGGCAUGGUGUAGUGGCUAGCAUUUCCGCCUCUCAUUCUUUCUAUCCUUUCUGAUAUACAGAAGAGAAGUGAUACAGGUCGCGGGAGACCGGGGUUCAAUUCCCCGUACCGGAA
Transfer RNA from Sclerotinia sclerotiorum, 116 nucleotides. It matches the Rfam family "tRNA". From Rfam's summary of the family: Transfer RNA (tRNA) molecules are approximately 80 nucleotides in length. Their secondary structure includes four short double-helical elements and three loops (D, anti-codon, and T loops). Lineage: Eukaryota; Fungi; Ascomycota; Leotiomycetes; Helotiales; Sclerotiniaceae. The record is from Rfam.